GAUGAAGAACGUAGUGAAAUGCGAUAAGUAAUGUGAAUUGCAGAAUUCAGUGAAUCAUCGAAUCUUUGAACGCACAUUGCGCCCCCUGGUAUUCCGGGGGGCAUGCCUGUUCGAGCGUCAUUUCACCACUCAAGCCUCGCUUGGUAUUGGGCAACGCGGUCCGCCGCGUGCCUCAAAUCGACCGGCUGGGUCUUCUGUCCCCUAAGCGUUGUGGAAACUAUUCGCUAAAGGGUGUUCGGGAGGCUACGCCGUAAAACAACCCCAUUUCUAAGGUUGACCUCGGAUCAGGUAGGGAUACCCGCUGAACUUAAGCAUAUCAAUAAGCGGAGGA
Molecule: unclassified non-coding RNA, 331 nt
Filed under: soil metagenome
Description: partial contains 5.8S ribosomal RNA, internal transcribed spacer 2, and large subunit ribosomal RNA
Rfam family: 5.8S ribosomal RNA (bases 1-120)
Source: RNAcentral